ACUCUCACUUCAGCAACAUGUAUAAUAAGAUUGGAACAAUACAGAGAUUAGCACGGCCCCUCUGCAAGGAUGGCACACAAAUCUGUGAAGCAUUCCAUAUCAAA
This 104-nucleotide small nuclear RNA is filed under the name Neotoma lepida (desert woodrat). The record is from RNAcentral. Lineage: Eukaryota; Metazoa; Chordata; Mammalia; Rodentia; Cricetidae.